GGAGAUGUAUCGAAGAGGUCAUAACGAGGCUGUCUCGAAAACAGUUAGUCAAGCAAAACUUGGCCCGUGGGUUCGAAUCCCACCGUCUCCGCCA
RNAcentral lists this transfer RNA (94 nucleotides) under Clostridiaceae bacterium. Its description in RNAcentral is "tRNA-Ser". It matches the Rfam family "tRNA". Rfam says of the family: Transfer RNA (tRNA) molecules are approximately 80 nucleotides in length. Their secondary structure includes four short double-helical elements and three loops (D, anti-codon, and T loops). The record is from RNAcentral. Lineage: Bacteria; Bacillati; Bacillota; Clostridia; Eubacteriales; Clostridiaceae.